GACGAACGCUGGCGGCGUGCUUAACACAUGCAAGUCGAACGGAAAGGCCUGCAGCUUGCUGCGGGUACUCGAGUGGCGAACGGGUGAGUAACACGUGGGUGAUCUGCCUUGCACUUCGGGAUAAGCUUGGGAAACUGGGUCUAAUACCGGAUAGGACAGCUGUUUAGUGUCAGUUGUGGAAAGUUUUUUUCGGUGCAAGAUGAGCUCGCGGCCUAUCAGCUUGUUGGUGGGGUAAUGGCCUACCAAGGCGUCGACGGGUAGCCGGCCUGAGAGGGUGUACGGCCACAUUGGGACUGAGAUACGGCCCAGACUCCUACGGGAGGCAGCAGUGGGGAAUAUUGCACAAUGGGCGGAAGCCUGAUGCAGCGACGCCGCGUGGGGGAUGAAGGCCUUCGGGUUGUAAACUCCUUUCGACAGGGACGAAGCUUUUGUGACGGUACCUGUAUAAGAAGCACCGGCUAACUACGUGCCAGCAGCCGCGGUAAUACGUAGGGUGCGAGCGUUGUCCGGAAUUACUGGGCGUAAAGAGCUCGUAGGUGGUUUGUCGCGUCGUCUGUGAAAUUCCGGGGCUUAACUCCGGGCGUGCAGGCGAUACGGGCUGACUUGAGUGCUGUAGGGGAGACUGGAAUUCCUGGUGUAGCGGUGAAAUGCGCAGAUAUCAGGAGGAACACCGAUGGCGAAGGCAGGUCUCUGGGCAGUAACUGACGCUGAGGAGCGAAAGCAUGGGUAGCGAACAGGAUUAGAUACCCUGGUAGUCCAUGCCGUAAACGGUGGGCGCUAGGUGUAGGGGGCUUCCACGUCUUCUGUGCCGUAGCUAACGCAUUAAGCGCCCCGCCUGGGGAGUACGGCCGCAAGGCUAAAACUCAAAGGAAUUGACGGGGACCCGCACAAGCGGUGGAGCAUGUGGUUUAAUUCGAAGCAACGCGAAGAACCUUACCAAGUCUUGACAUACUGUGAGGACACAAGAGAUUGUGUUGUUCUGACCUUUGGUUAGACACAGAUACAGGUGGUGCAUGGUUGUCGUCAGCUCGUGUCGUGAGAUGUUGGGUUAAGUCCCGCAACGAGCGCAACCCUUAUAUCUAGUUGCCAGCAGUAAGAUGGGGACUCUAGAUAGACUGCCAGUGAUAAACUGGAGGAAGGUGGGGAUGACGUCAAAUCAUCAUGCCCCUUAUGACUUGGGCUACACACGUGCUACAAUGGAUAGGAACAAAGAGAAGCGAGCUCGCGAGAGUAAGCAAACCUCACAAAACUAUUCUCAGUUCGGAUUGUAGUCUGCAACUCGACUACAUGAAGCUGGAAUCGCUAGUAAUCGCGAAUCAGAAUGUCGCGGUGAAUACGUUCCCGGGUCU
RNAcentral lists this ribosomal RNA (1349 nucleotides) under uncultured bacterium. RNAcentral describes it as "bacterial SSU rRNA". It matches the Rfam family "Bacterial small subunit ribosomal RNA", at positions 28 to 1381 of the family's 1533-position model. The record is from RNAcentral.